AAAUCUCAUCAGAUGCAGGCUGUGCUUUCUGCUACAGAAACUCACCGCCUAAGCCAGGCCGCUUCCCUGGACUUGAUGUCCUCGCCUGGUGACACGAGCUAGACUUUGGGCUCCUUGAGGAUAUUCAGUUUUGUAUGUUUGAAUAUCCUCUCACCAUGUUCAGCAUAAAGUACCAUUCUUAAUGAUUAUCCUCAACAAGACAGGUGUGAGAGGGUUGCUGUUGUAUUGCAAUCAUGGUGCAGAAAUACCAGUCCCCAGUGAGGGUGUACAAAUACCCCUUUGAAUUAAUUAUGGCUGCCUAUGAAAGGAGGUUCCCUACAUGUCCCUUGAUUCCGAUGUUCGUGGGCAGUGACACUAUGAAUGAAUUCAAGAGCGAAGAUGGGGCUAUUCAUGUCAUUGAAAGGCGCUGCAAGCUGGAUGUAGAUGCACCCAGACUGCUGAAGAAGGAGUUGAUUAUGUUUAUUUUGUCCAGAAAAACUCACUGAAUUCUCGGGAACGUACUUUGCACAUUGAGGCUUAUAAUGAAACGUUUUCCAAUCGGGUCAUCAUUAAUGAGCAUUGCUGCU
This 566-nucleotide small RNA is filed under the name Pan troglodytes (chimpanzee). Its description in RNAcentral is "processed transcript". Lineage: Eukaryota; Metazoa; Chordata; Mammalia; Primates; Hominidae. The record is from RNAcentral.